Portunus trituberculatus (swimming crab) is the source of this 481-nucleotide long non-coding RNA. RefSeq lists it as uncharacterized. The transcript has 3 exons. The record is from RefSeq and is a predicted model, not a curated record. Lineage: Eukaryota; Metazoa; Arthropoda; Malacostraca; Decapoda; Portunidae.
CCAAAGGUGACCUCUGUGAAACUAUAUUGAAGGCCUUGCUUAAUAGCACCGCGAGUGUUCAACAACACCAAAGAUAGAGAGUUUGGCUAACGUGAGGGUGCGGCAUAGCUCCAUUACUUCGCGCCAGCCUGAGUGCCAAGAGGCUGCCUCAGUGCAUCCUGCUGCAGCUGAUGACAGCCACACUGGAGAGACUGUUGCUGCUGCUGGAGUACAGACCGUGGCAGCGUCAGGGCGAGGAUAACGCCUCGCCUCGUAUCAUUCAGAAAUGUCAAUCUUUAUUAGCCAAAGGUGGUCCACAGUGAGGCAGGUGUUGACACGGACGCUGCUGAUUCUCUCUGCUGGCCUCUUGAUUUCUUGGAAUGUGGAAUAUGGUGAGUGAAGGUUGUGUGGGCUGCCACAGUCACCCGAGGGCGGACCGAAUGGGGUGGGGACUAUGCGCCGCGGAAUCAGUGGUGCAGACUUAAAUUAAGAUACUCAACAG